This 377-nucleotide ribosomal RNA is filed under the name uncultured crenarchaeote. RNAcentral's name for it is "bacterial SSU rRNA". It matches the Rfam family "Archaeal small subunit ribosomal RNA", at positions 347 to 725 of the family's 1478-position model. Lineage: Archaea; Thermoproteati; Thermoproteota. The record is from RNAcentral.
ACUUUGCAAUGUGCGAAAGCACGACAAGGUUAAUCCGAGUGGUUUCUGCUAAAGGAACCUUUUGUCAGUCCUAGAAACACUGAUGAAUAAGGGGUGGGCAAGUUCUGGUGUCAGCCGCCGCGGUAAAACCAGCACCUCAAGUGGUCAGGAUGAUUAUUGGGCCUAAAGCAUCCGUAGCCUGCUUUGUUAGUUUUCGGUUAAAUCCAUGCGCUCAACGCAUGGGCUGCCGGGAAUACUGCAAAGCUAGGGAGUGGGAGAGGUAGACGGUACUCGGUAGGAAGGGGUAAAAUCCUUUGAUCUAUUGAUGACCACCUGUGGCGAAGGCGGUCUACCAGAACACGUCCGACGGUGAGGGAUGAAAGCUGGGGGAGCAAACC